GUAUGCUAGAAUUUUGAGGCUCCCUUCUGAUGAAAAUUGAGCUGUCCAUGCAGCCAUGGAACCUGGGUUACAGCAGUGAGGGGGCCACGGCUCAAGAAACUUACACAUGUCCAAAAAUGAUUGAGAUAGAGCAGGCGGAGGCCCAGCUUGCUGAGUUAGACCUGCUAGCCAGUAUGUUCCCUGGUGAGAAUGAGCUCAUAGUGAAUGACCAGCUGGCUGUAGCAGAACUGAAAGAUUGUAUUGAAAAGAAGACAAUGGAGGGGCGAUCUUCAAAAGUCUACUUUACUAUCAAUAUGAACCUGGAUGUAUCUGAUGAAAAAAUGGUAAUUCAGUUUUGCUUUUAGAGGGAUUGAAACAUGUUGAGACUUAAAACAUUGGUUAGUGCACUUUUUCUUCUUCUCUUUAAUCAGGCGAUGUUUUCUUUGGCCUGUAUUCUUCCCUUUAAAUACCCGGCAGUUCUGCCUGAAAUUACUGUCAGGUACGUUACAGAAGCUCUGGCCAACUUUGGAGGUCAAAAUUAAUCUGAGAAUAAAAGCAAUUCUCAAAUUUGUUUUCUGUUCCAAGACAGUAUUUUUCUUGUAUCUUUUCUAUUAGAUCAGUAUUAUUGAGUAGAUCCCAGCAGACUCAGCUGAACACAGAUCUGACUGCAUUCCUGCAAAAACAUUGUCAUGGAGAUGUUUGUAUACUGAAUGCCACAGAGUGGGUUAGAGAACACGCCUCUGGCUAUGUCAGCAGAGAUACUUCAUCUUCACCCACCACAGGAAGGACAGUCCAGUCAGUUGACCUCAUCUUCACGAGACUCUGGAUCUACAGCCAUCAUAUCUAUAACAAAUGCAAAAGAA
Molecule: small RNA, 842 nt
Filed under: Pan troglodytes (chimpanzee)
Lineage: Eukaryota; Metazoa; Chordata; Mammalia; Primates; Hominidae
Description: retained intron
Source: RNAcentral